Molecule: ribosomal RNA, 497 nt
Filed under: uncultured bacterium
Lineage: Bacteria
Description: partial 16S ribosomal RNA
Rfam family: Bacterial small subunit ribosomal RNA
Source: RNAcentral
GAUGAACGCUGGCGGCGUGCCUAAUACAUGCAAGUCGAGCGAACAGACGAGGAGCUUGCUCCUCUGACGUUAGCGGCGGACGGGUGAGUAACACGUGGAUAACCUACCUAUAAGACUGGGAUAACUUCGGGAAACCGGAGCUAAUACCGGAUAAUAUAUUGAACCGCAUGGUUCAAUAGUGAAAGACGGUUUUGCUGUCACUUAUAGAUGGAUCCGCGCCGCAUUAGCUAGUUGGUAAGGUAACGGCUUACCAAGGCAACGAUGCGUAGCCGACCUGAGAGGGUGAUCGGCCACACUGGAACUGAGACACGGUCCAGACUCCUACGGGAGGCAGCAGUAGGGAAUCUUCCGCAAUGGGCGAAAGCUUGACGGAGCAACGCAGCGUGAGUGGUGAAGGUCUUCGGAUCGUAAAACUCUGUUAGUAGGGAAGAACAAAUGUGUAAGUAACUAUGCACGUCGUGACGGUACCUAAUCAGAAAGCCACGGCUAACUACGUG